GGGCUCACUUCAGCAGCACAUAUACUAAAAUUGGAACGAUACAGAGAAGAUUAGCAUGGCUCCUGCACAAUUAUAGGUAAUAUGUGUAUAUUGAGUACACACUAAUUUCA
Small nuclear RNA from Trichechus manatus latirostris (Florida manatee), 110 nucleotides. Lineage: Eukaryota; Metazoa; Chordata; Mammalia; Sirenia; Trichechidae. The record is from RefSeq and is a predicted model, not a curated record.